RNAcentral lists this ribosomal RNA (388 nucleotides) under Escherichia coli. Its description in RNAcentral is "bacterial SSU rRNA". It matches the Rfam family "Bacterial small subunit ribosomal RNA", at positions 1034 to 1422 of the family's 1533-position model. The record is from RNAcentral. RNAcentral also lists the same sequence under 4 other names. Lineage: Bacteria; Pseudomonadati; Pseudomonadota; Gammaproteobacteria; Enterobacterales; Enterobacteriaceae.
ACAGGUGCUGCAUGGCUGUCGUCAGCUCGUGUUGUGAAAUGUUGGGUUAAGUCCCGCAACGAGCGCAACCCUUAUCCUUUGUUGCCAGCGGUCCGGCCGGGAACUCAAAGGAGACUGCCAGUGAUAAACUGGAGGAAGGUGGGGAUGACGUCAAGUCAUCAUGGCCCUUACGACCAGGGCUACACACGUGCUACAAUGGCGCAUACAAAGAGAAGCGACCUCGCGAGAGCAAGCGGACCUCAUAAAGUGCGUCGUAGUCCGGAUUGGAGUCUGCAACUCGACUCCAUGAAGUCGGAAUCGCUAGUAAUCGUGGAUCAGAAUGCCACGGUGAAUACGUUCCCGGGCCUUGUACACACCGCCCGUCACACCAUGGGAGUGGGUUGCAAAA